This is a long non-coding RNA of Cyprinus carpio carpio, 3023 nucleotides long. The record is from Ensembl. Lineage: Eukaryota; Metazoa; Chordata; Actinopteri; Cypriniformes; Cyprinidae.
AACAGUUUUCGGCAGUGCAUAAAUCAGCAAAACAAACAAAGGGCUGUGCAGCCAGCUAAAACUGAAGAAAAGGAUUUCAGAUUGAGUCCGGGAUAUUUCACAAAGUGCGAAUGUGGCAUAGACUCCCCCUGCACUGAAGGAGCCAGAUCCCUGGAAGCAUCCAACAUUUCCUGUAGAGAGCAAGACCAGAGUCAUUACAGCACUGGCCAGGGAUGCAGGCAGUCUGAAGCAAACAUUCAAACAAAACAGUCAGCAUCGGCAGAGAGAUUUACACGGCAUGCUUGAUUUAGGAUGUCAGAUUCCCAACUGCUAUGGGGCUGAGAUGAAGUGGAUGGCCUGGGGCAAUGUCAACAUUGGGGCUUUGGCCCCUCUCAACCCACUUGUGUGAGAGGGAGAGACCAUGACCAAGUCCAGGAAACAGCUGCGGAAAAGAGUGUAAUCCCAGGCUCGGAGGUAAACCUGAGCCGCACCCAAGGAGGCUUUGAGAUUGCAUUUUGGUUAGGUCUUCAAUUUCUGGAUUUGCCAGGGUAGGCCUCACUAGAAUUUUCUGCUUAGUGAUUUCUGCAUAGCUUAUUGGGUCAUUCUGCAUUGAGGCUUGAUAUUGAGAUGCUGUGCGUGCUGCUGAGGAAAGGGCAGAGAAAACUGCACAGAGCUGAAAGCAAAGCAGAAGUAAUAUAAAUAUUAUGACAAGUUGAGUUGCAAGGCGCAUUUGAAGUGGCAUUUGAAAGGAUGAAAACAUCAGAAAAGCAUGCAUCAAACCCUACCACAGCAUGCUCAGAGUGCAUUUGUUACUUUUUUCCAGGUACAAAGGACACCCUCCAGGUAUUGAUCUUUCUGUGGCAGAGAAGAAAAAGGUAAGACAGUUUUUAAUAUUUUACUAGCCUUCACAGGUAUAUCCUGUACAAACAUGACUAUUCAUAGUAUGAGAGAGGCACGCAGAGAAAAAUGAAGCUUAAAUGUAAUUAUCACAACAAAAAGCAGCUGUCAAGCAGACAAACAUGAUUGUUUGUCAUGAACUAGAUUCACUGCAUACUUCUAAAAUACGUUUCUCAUUACCUCCCUGCUUGUCUAUUGAGUGGUUUUGAUGAGGGAUAUUGUCCAUGUCAAGAGAUGACCUAGUUAUGAUUGGCUUUUGUUUUAUUGUAGCAUCCGUAGAUUAUAUCAAAGCCAAACUGACACCUAGAGUCCUCACGAAAGCAGAAGAGUGGAAUGUUUGAGUGGACAAUGUUGGGUGGCAUCUCUGAAAUGCAUAAAUACUGGGUAACACUUUAGUUUAAGGACCAAUUCCUAAUUGGUAGCACUUUAUUUUACAGUCCUGUUCCACGUGUACAUACUAUGUAAUUAUUAUAGCAUUUACAAUAACUUUGUAAUAGCUAGGUACUAACCCUGAUCCUAUCCUUAAACCUAACCUGCCAUGUAGUUACUUUAUACUACCCAGUACUUUCUUGGGUAAGUUCACUGUAAGUAUACUGUAAAAUAAAGUGUAACUACCUUAUUCUAGAUCCCUUAAUUCAACCCCAUAUUUAAAACUCAUAUUUAACAACUACCUUAAUAACUAUUAAUACUAUAUUUCUGCCAGCUAGCAACCGGGGGUGCCGAAAUACAAUUGGGUAAACUGGCAGUGGGCGGGUUUCACAAACCAAAACAAAGACCGACAUUCUGGCACGGAACACACAUUGUCAAGGGAUAAUAACUGACUGCACAUUGUUUUUCAGAUAAAUAAGUAUGUUAACUUAGCAUGUUUCUUGAAUAUAUGCAAACAUAUAAUGGUGUUUUUUAUGCUUUUAUGUCUUAGUUUUCCCCACUUCUAGAUUUUCAUUCACUAUAGAAAUUCAUGAUAAUUAAUGAUUAAAAUAUUACUGUUAUAUGUGUAAAACUUUUAUAUUCUAACAUAAAUGUAAAAAAAAAAAAAAAUAAUAAUUUCCACCUCAAACAACAAUUUUGCCACUAAUAACUUUUUUCUUCUUUUCUGAAUUGAAGUGAAGUGAAGCGCAUGGAAUUAUUUUAUUAAUUAUUCAAUUUCAAAGGAAAUGCAUUGGUAAAUAUGAAGUUUGCAUGGGCUAUUUUGAAACAGUGAAUUAAUUCAACAUUGCUACAGUUACAUAUGUGUUGAACAAAGCCUGAUGUAAAGAUUCCAGCAUUGACCAAUGAGUCUGUCCACACUGGAGAAUCAAGAUACACAAAAGACAGAAAAUCAACAUGAUAUGUUAAAAACGUGAUAUAUAUCAAAAAAUACAUUUAGAUCAGAUGAGCAGCGGUGCCUGGAGUGGACUUGCACCAUGUCAAAAAUAGAAAUGGGCUAAAGACGCAAAACAACCGGCUCUUCAAGCAUAGACAGUUUCACCAAUUAUUGCGGGUGUGAUUUAGCGUCUGGCGCCACUGUAGUGUUAACAAAAACAAACUGAUGGAAUUUUGCCACAUAGCAACUAUGACAGGAUGGCCAUCAAGGGAAUGUUUUGUUUUCAUUAAUUUUUGAGUCACUCAAUAGGAGGUCGCUGUCAGUUGAAUGUUAUUGCAGCACUUGUUGACAACAUGUGAUUACCGCGACCGCAGCUGUGACUCAACCCUCGGAAACACAAGAGUGACACUGACUCUGACAUAAAGAGACAUUCCCACAACAGGUCAGACCAACCUCUGCUUUGUGAUGCCUUCCGGCGGCAGACCUCUCAAACUCAUCUCACCUAAUACACGCUCAAACUGCCCUUCCUGUCAUUGCCCUCUGAUGAUUGAUGACUGCGAGCGAGGAACAGACAAGUUGGAGAAGAAAAAGAGAUUACAAUCUUAGAUGCCAAAAUAUUCUAAUAAGAAAUGAAAAGGCUGUGGGAUGUUAAAAAUACGCUGAAAGCUUUUUGGUCUCGUUUCGACUUGCAUCAAGUAAAAAUCUUUGUAUUGCACUCUAUGUCUUUCUUGUGCUACAAAUGAUGCUCUGUCCUGAAAAUCCACUAUAUCAGAGCCUUAAGUGCAAUAGCAUUGUUGUGAAUAUAGAUAACACAUAUUAGAAACAAAGAUCCUGUGCUUCUCAA